This 73-nucleotide transfer RNA is filed under the name Paralichthys lethostigma (southern flounder). RNAcentral describes it as "tRNA-Pro". It matches the Rfam family "tRNA". Rfam says of the family: Transfer RNA (tRNA) molecules are approximately 80 nucleotides in length. Their secondary structure includes four short double-helical elements and three loops (D, anti-codon, and T loops). Further hydrogen bonds mediate the characteristic L-shaped molecular structure. tRNAs have two regions of fundamental functional importance: the anti-codon, which is responsible for specific mRNA codon recognition, and the 3' end, to which the tRNAs corresponding amino acid is attached (by aminoacyl-tRNA synthetases). tRNAs cope with the degeneracy of the genetic code in two manners: having more than one tRNA (with a specific anti-codon) for a particular amino acid; and 'wobble' base-pairing, i.e. permitting non-standard base-pairing at the 3rd anti-codon position. RNAcentral also lists the same sequence under 1 other name. The record is from RNAcentral. Lineage: Eukaryota; Metazoa; Chordata; Actinopteri; Pleuronectiformes; Paralichthyidae.
CAGAAAAUAGUUUAACGCGCUAGAAUCCUAGCUUUGGGAGUUAGGGGUAGGAGUUGAAAUCUCCUUUUUCUGA